AUUGAACGCUGGCGGCAUGCUUUACACAUGCAAGUCGAGCGGCAGCGCGGGGGCAACCCUGGCGGCGAGCGGCGGACGGGUGAGUAAUGCAUCGGAACGUAUCCCGUAGUGGGGGACAACCCAGCGAAAGCUGGGCUAAUACCGCAUAUGCUCUACGGAGGAAAGUGGGGGACCCGCAAGGGCCUCACGCUAUGGGAGCGGCCGAUGUCCGAUUAGCUAGUUGGUGGGGUAAAGGCCUACCAAGGCGACGAUCGGUAGCUGGUCUGAGAGGAUGAUCAGCCACACUGGGACUGAGACACGGCCCAGACUCCUACGGGAGGCAGCAGUGGGGAAUUUUGGACAAUGGGGGCAACCCUGAUCCAGCCAUGCCGCGUGCGGGAAGAAGGCC
RNAcentral lists this ribosomal RNA (388 nucleotides) under uncultured bacterium. Its description in RNAcentral is "bacterial SSU rRNA". It matches the Rfam family "Bacterial small subunit ribosomal RNA", at positions 28 to 416 of the family's 1533-position model. The record is from RNAcentral.